Molecule: transfer RNA, 73 nt
Filed under: Tamaricihabitans halophyticus
Lineage: Bacteria; Bacillati; Actinomycetota; Actinomycetes; Pseudonocardiales; Pseudonocardiaceae
Rfam family: tRNA
About the family: Transfer RNA (tRNA) molecules are approximately 80 nucleotides in length. Their secondary structure includes four short double-helical elements and three loops (D, anti-codon, and T loops).
Source: Rfam by way of RNAcentral
GCCCCCGUAGCCCAACGGCAGAGGCAAGCCGCUUAAAACGGUUCAAGUGCCGGUUCGAAUCCGGUCGGGGGCA